RNAcentral lists this ribosomal RNA (1285 nucleotides) under uncultured bacterium. RNAcentral describes it as "bacterial SSU rRNA". It matches the Rfam family "Bacterial small subunit ribosomal RNA", at positions 81 to 1386 of the family's 1533-position model. The record is from RNAcentral.
GAAAAGAAGGAUUAGCGGCGGACGGGUGAGUAACACGUGAAUAACCUACCUUUGACACAGGGAUAGCCUCGGGAAACUGGGAUUAAUACCAGAUGAUAUAUCUUCAUCACAUGAUAAAGAUAUUAAAGCGAUUUAGCGGUCAAAGAUGGAUUCGCGUCUGAUUAGCUAGUUGGUGAGAUAAAAGCUCACCAAGGCAACGAUCAGUAACCGGCCUGAGAGGGUGAACGGUCACAUUGGAACUGAGACACGGUCCAAACUCCUACGGGAGGCGGCAGUGGGGAAUAUUGCACAAUGGAGGAAACUCUGAUGCAGCGACGCCGCGUGAGCGAUGAAGGUUUUCGAAUCGUAAAGCUCUGUCCCAUGGGAAGAUAAUGACGGUACCAUGGGAGGAAGCCCCGGCUAACUACGUGCCAGCAGCCGCGGUAAUACGUAGGGGGCUAGCGUUGUCCGGAAUUACUGGGCGUAAAGGGUUCGCAGGCGGAAAUACAAGUCAGGUGUAAAAGGCGGAGGCUUAACCUCCGUAAGCAUUUGAAACUGUAUUUCUUGAGAUAUGGAGAGGCAAGUGGAAUUCCUAGUGUAGCGGUGAAAUGCGUAGAUAUUAGGAGGAAUACCAGUGGCGAAGGCGACUUGCUGGACAUAUACUGACGCUGAGGAACGAAAGCAUGGGUAGCAAACAGGAUUAGAUACCCUGGUAGUCCAUGCUGUAAACCAUAAGUGCUAGGUGUCGGGGGUGACCUCGAUGCAGUAGUUAACACAAUAAACACUCCGCCUGGGGAGUACGUGCGCAAGCAUGAAACUCAAAGGAAUUGACGGGGACCCGCACAAGCAGCGGAGCAAUGUGGUUUAAUUCGAAGCAACGCGAAGAACCUUACCAGGACUUGACAUAAUAUUGACCGGUAUAGAGAUAUACCUUUCUCUUCGGAGACAGUAUUACAGGUGGUGCAUGGUUGUCGUCAGCUCGUGUCGUGAGAUGUUGGGUUAAGUCCCGCAACGAGCGCAACCCUUAUCUUUAGUUGCCAGCACGUAAUGGUGGGAACUCUAAAGAGACUGCCGUCGAUAAGACGGAGGAAGGUGGGGAUGACGUCAAAUCAUCAUGCCCUUUAUGUCCUGGGCUACACACGUGCUACAAUGGUUGGAACAAAGAGAAGCUAAACAGCAAUGUCAUGCAAAUCUCAUAAAGCCAAUCUCAGUUCGGAUUGUAGGCUGCAACUCGCCUACAUGAAGUCGGAGUUGCUAGUAAUCGCAGAUCAGAAUGCUGCGGUGAAUGCAAAGCCGGGUCUUGUAC